AUGAGAGAUCUGAAAAUACAUAGCACAUCGUAUGUCCACAGUUGUGAUGAUGGUAGGUGCAGAGUCUUGGCCUGUUCAUUACAUAAUUUGAAAGCAUGUAGAGCUUCAGGUUUAUGGUUCAGUAUAUCAUUGCAAAGUAGUUUAUGGCUCAGUAUAUCACUGCAGGUUCCUUACACCGUCAAAUUUCAAUGUUUUUGUAUUUUUGUCGAUGGAACCAUGUUCUUUGACUAUAAAGUAGCAGAGAUUUAUUUUCUUAUCAACUCUAAUCCCUUUUUGAUGCAUUGCAGGUUUGCUAUCAAACUCUCAAAAAAGAAAAAACAACUUUACUCUGUUUUUUGGAGAACCUUCCUGUAG
RNAcentral lists this ribosomal RNA (354 nucleotides) under Triticum aestivum (bread wheat). Its description in RNAcentral is "partial small subunit ribosomal RNA". Lineage: Eukaryota; Viridiplantae; Streptophyta; Magnoliopsida; Poales; Poaceae. The record is from RNAcentral.